UCCAAACUAGCAAGUACUGCCCCAUGUGCAA
This 31-nucleotide non-coding RNA is filed under the name Homo sapiens (human). Lineage: Eukaryota; Metazoa; Chordata; Mammalia; Primates; Hominidae. The record is from RNAcentral.